UACGGAGGGUGCAAGCGUUGUUCGGAAUUACUGGGCGUAAAGCGCGCGUAGGCGGUUUGUUAAGUCAGAUGUGAAAGCCCAUGGCUCAACCAUGGACGUGCAUUUGAAACUGGCAGACUUGAGUAUUGGAGGGGUGGUGGAUUCCGGCGUACGCGGUGAAUGCGUAGAGAUCGGGAGGAACGAUCAGUGGCGAAGGCGGCGACCUGGCCUAAAACGUGAACGCUGAGGCACGAAAGCGUGGGGAGCGAAAC
Molecule: ribosomal RNA, 251 nt
Filed under: uncultured bacterium
Lineage: Bacteria
Description: partial 16S ribosomal RNA
Rfam family: Bacterial small subunit ribosomal RNA
Source: RNAcentral